RNAcentral lists this ribosomal RNA (572 nucleotides) under uncultured Glomeromycotina. Its description in RNAcentral is "SSU rRNA". It matches the Rfam family "Eukaryotic small subunit ribosomal RNA", at positions 548 to 1114 of the family's 1831-position model. The record is from RNAcentral. Lineage: Eukaryota; Fungi; Glomeromycota.
UUGGAGGGCAAGUCUGGUGCCAGCAGCCGCGGUAAUUCCAGCUCCAAUAGCGUAUAUUAAAGUUGUUGCAGUUAAAAAGCUCGUAGUUGAAUUUCGGGAUUGACACACCGGUCGUGCCUUAAGGGGUGUGAACUGGUGUAGUCAAUUUCUCACCUUCUGGAGAACCGCGAUGUCCUUAAUUGGGUGCCGCGAGGAACCAGGACCUUUACUUUGAAAAAAUUAGAGUGUUUAAAGCAGGCAUUUUUGCUUGAAUACAUUAGCAUGGAAUAAUAAAGUAGGACGGCAUGAUUCUAUUUUGUUGGUUUCUAGGAUCACCGUAAUGAUUAAUAGGGAUAGUUGGGGGCAUUAGUAUUCAAUUGUCAGAGGUGAAAUUCUUGGAUUUAUUGAAGACUAACUACUGCGAAAGCAUUUGCCAAGGAUGUUUUCAUUAAUCAAGAACGAAAGUUAGGGGAUCGAAGACGAUCAGAUACCGUCGUAGUCUUAACCAUAAACUAUGCCGACUAGGAAUCAGACGAUGUUAAUUUUUUAAUGACUCGUUUGGCACCUUACGGGAAACCAAAGUGUUUGGGUUC